This 750-nucleotide ribosomal RNA is filed under the name uncultured bacterium. Its description in RNAcentral is "bacterial SSU rRNA". It matches the Rfam family "Bacterial small subunit ribosomal RNA", at positions 61 to 810 of the family's 1533-position model. The record is from RNAcentral.
GUCGAACGGUAGAGGGGGCAACCCCUUGAGUGUGGCGAACGGGUGAGUAAUGUAUCGGAACGUGCCCAGUCGUGGGGGAUAACGUAGUGAAAAUUACGCUAAUACCGCAUACGAUCUAUGGAUGAAAGCGGGGGAUCGCAAGACCUCGCGCGAUUGGAGCGGCCGAUAUCAGAUUAGGUAGUUGGUAGGGUAAAGGCCUACCAAGCCAACGAUCUGUAGCUGGUCUGAGAGGACGACCAGCCACACUGGAACUGAGACACGGUCCAGACUCCUACGGGAGGCAGCAGUGGGGAAUUUUGGACAAUGGGCGAAAGCCUGAUCCAGCCAUUCCGCGUGCAGGAUGAAGGCCCUCGGGUUGUAAACUGCUUUUGUACAGAACGAAAAGGUUUCUAUUAAUACUAGGAGUUCAUGACGGUACUGUAAGAAUAAGCACCGGCUAACUACGUGCCAGCAGCCGCGGUAAUACGUAGGGUGCAAGCGUUAAUCGGAAUUACUGGGCGUAAAGCGUGCGCAGGCGGUUAUAUAAGUCAGAUGUGAAAUCCCCGGGCUCAACCUGGGAACUGCAUUUGAGACUGUAUCGCUAGAGUACGGUAGAGGGGGAUGGAAUUCCGCGUGUAGCAGUGAAAUGCGUAGAUAUGCGGAGGAACACCGAUGGCGAAGGCAAUCCCCUGGACCUGUACUGACGCUCAUGCACGAAAGCGUGGGGAGCAAACAGGAUUAGAUACCCUGGUAGUCCACGCCCUAAACGAU